AGCAAACGUUUGCGGCGGGCUUAACACAUGCAAGUCGAACGAGAAUCCCUUCGGGGAGGAAAGUGGCGCACGGGUGCGUAACACGUGGAUAACCUACCCAUUGGUUGGGGACAACACCGGGAAACUGGUGCUAAUACCCGAUGUGUCGUAGUGGUCGCAAGGCUGCUACGAGAAAGGCCCGCAAGGGUCGCCAGCGGACGGGUCCGCGUCCCAUCAGCUAGUUGGUGAGGUAAUGGCUCACCAAGGCGAAGACGGGUAGCUGGUCUGAGAGGAUGAUCAGCCACACUGGAACUGAGACACGGUCCAGACUCCUACGGGAGGCAGCAGUGGGGAAUAUUGGACAAUGGGCGCAAGCCUGAUCCAGCCAUGCCGCGUGAGUGAUGAAGGCCUUAGGGUUGUAAAGCUCUUUCAGUGGGGACGAUAAUGACGGUACCCACAGAAGAAGCCCCCGGCUAACUUCGUGCCAGCAGCCGCGGUAAU
RNAcentral lists this ribosomal RNA (480 nucleotides) under uncultured bacterium. Its description in RNAcentral is "bacterial SSU rRNA". It matches the Rfam family "Bacterial small subunit ribosomal RNA", at positions 29 to 524 of the family's 1533-position model. The record is from RNAcentral.